This 497-nucleotide ribosomal RNA is filed under the name uncultured bacterium. RNAcentral describes it as "partial 16S ribosomal RNA". It matches the Rfam family "Bacterial small subunit ribosomal RNA", at positions 28 to 507 of the family's 1533-position model. The record is from RNAcentral.
GAUGAACGCUGGCGGCGUGCCUAAUACAUGCAAGUCGAGCGAACAGACGAUGAGCUUGCUCCUCUGACGUUAGCGGCGGACGGGUGAGUAACACGUGGAUAACCUACCUAUAAGACUGGGAUAACUUCGGGAAACCGGAGCUAAUACCGGAUAAUAUAUUGAACCGCAUGGUUCAAUAGUGAAAGACGGUUUUGCUGUCACUUAUAGAUGGAUCCGCGCCGCAUUAGCUAGUUGGUAAGGUAACGGCUUACCAAGGCAACGAUGCGUAGCCGACCUGAGAGGGUGAUCGGCCACACUGGAACUGAGACACGGUCCAGACUCCUACGGGAGGCAGCAGUAGGGAAUAUUCCGCAAUGGGCGCAAGCUUGACGGAGCAACGCCGCGUGAGUGAUGAAGGUCUUCGGAUCGUAAAACUCUGUUAUUAGGGAAGAACAAAUGUGUAAGUAACUAUGCACGUCUUGACGGUACCUAAACAGAAAGCCACGGCUAACUACGUG